This 449-nucleotide ribosomal RNA is filed under the name uncultured bacterium. RNAcentral's name for it is "partial 16S ribosomal RNA". It matches the Rfam family "Bacterial small subunit ribosomal RNA", at positions 29 to 523 of the family's 1533-position model. The record is from RNAcentral.
AGCGAACGCUGGCGGCAUGCCUAACACAUGCAAGUCGAACGAGACCUUCGGGUCUAGUGGCGCACGGGUGCGUAACGCGUGGGAAUCUACCCUUGGGUUCGGAAUAACAGUUAGAAAUGACUGCUAAUACCGGAUGAUGACGUAAGUCCAAAGAUUUAUCGCCCAAGGAUGAGCCCGCGUAAGAUUAGCUUGUUGGUGGGGUAAUGGCCUACCAAGGCGACGAUCUUUAGCUGGUCUGAGAGGAUGAUCAGCCACACUGGGACUGAGACACGGCCCAGACUCCUACGGGAGGCAGCAGUGAGGAAUAUUGGACAAUGGGCGAAAGCUUGAUCCAGCAAUGCCGCGUGAGUGAUGAAGGCCUUAGGGUUGUAAAGCUCUUUUACCAGGGAUGAUAAUGACAGUACCUGGAGAAUAAGCUCCGGCUAACUCCGUGCCAGCAGCCGCAGUAA